GUCAGUAGUUUAUGUUUAUUCUCAGAAAAGUAUUGAAUUAUUACAUUUCUGUGCAUCAGACUAAAAAAAAUGACCAUCACAGAAUUGCUUGGGGAAAAAUAUACAAGGAAAAGUAAUUUCUCUAAAUAAAUACAAAAGAAAUAAUUCAAGGGAUGAGGGACAUUUAAAAAAUCCACUAACUAGAAAACUACUUGACCCAGGUGCUUCAAUUUUUUAUAGGUCUACCAAUCUACUUUGUGAUUAGGGAUAGUUGCAAAGGCACCCAGCACACAUGCUCUCUUCUUGGCCAGAAAAAAACUUGGCUGUGAAGGGUGGAUAAAUUGAAUGAAAACAUCUUGCUCUGCUUUCAAAACAGUCUUUGGCUGCUAUACAUAAAAAUGAGUGCCUUAUAAAACUCAUAAUGACAAAAUGUGAAAAAUGAUCAUCAGAAAUUUGGGAUAUAAUAUAUAAUAUUAAGAGAAAUCUGCUUCUUCUAAUUAAGUGAGUUUAUAUUUUGUACAUGGUGUCAUGGCUGAAGAAAUUAUACUGAAGUUGGGUCUAAAUGUGGGUUUUUGUUUUGUGGUAGGGGUUUCAUAUUCGAUCUGUAAUCUCUGUAAAACCUUUCACCUGAUUUGGACUGGGUUUUUUUUUUUUUUAAAAAAGAUGUGCCCUGUAUAUGAGAAAUUAUCAACAAACAUCAGUUCAUCAACUCAAAAUUAUGAUUUCCACAGAUCUGGCAUCGGGGAUUGGAGUUACAUCAUUGUAUGUUAGCUUAAGUUAUCCUCAUGUUCAUAGAGCCAUACUACCAGAUACUUAAUAACAAUUGAAUGCCAUGCUUAAGUAGUUUUUUAAUAGCACGAUUUUUAAAAGGGCUACUAGGAAAAGCAUUUGAAAAGAUGUUUUUGAGAAGAUCUAUUGAUUGGUGUGAGGGAUUUGAUGAGCUAACAUGAAAUGAACCUAUUGUUAAUUUUAAAGAAUUUAUACAGUAGUAAUUUAUAUAGCAAUCAAAUUGGUAACUUUAAUUGUGAGCCUUGUUAUGGAGUCAAAAAGGACAGUAUCCAUUCCUCUCAAAGAUUUUUUUUUUUCAUUGUUAUGACUUGUUGGAACUUUUGAUGGUCGAAAGUGUUUAUUCAUUGUGAUUUUACCUACUAUAAUGAGUUAAAAUAUCUACUACUGUUAAAACCGGAUAUGAUAGAUCCAAGUAUGAUUUUAUUUUUUGUAUGAAAACUUAUGUAAUAAUGUUUUUAUGAGCUAAGAAGAAAAAUCAGCUUUAGUGUCAUUUUCUGGUAAUUCAAUGAGUUUUAAGUGAGUAAUAAUCUGUUUUCAUCAAGGAAAUUAGUCUGAAAAGUUUCACAGCUUUCUCUGUGGUUUGACUGUUUUUAUUGUAUAUUAGAAAAAAACAGGAGGUGGAGGAAGAAGAAACUUGUCUUAUAUUUAUUUAGCAAACCAAAUCUCA
Molecule: long non-coding RNA, 1435 nt
Organism: Astatotilapia calliptera (eastern happy)
Lineage: Eukaryota; Metazoa; Chordata; Actinopteri; Cichliformes; Cichlidae
Source: Ensembl